CUACGGGACGCUCCAGUGAGGAAUAUUGCACAAUGGGCGAAAGCCUGAUGCAGCAACGCCGCGUGGGUGAUGAAGGCCUUCGGGUUGUAAAACCCUUUUCUGGGGGACGAGGAAGGACGGUACCUCAGGAAUAAGCCUCGGCUAACUACGUGCCAGCAGCCGCGGUAAAACGUAGGAGGCGAGCGUUAUUCGGAUUUACUGGGCGUAAAGCGCGUGCAGGCGGUUCUGUAAGUUGGAGGUUAAAUCUCUCGGCUCAACUGAGAGGCGUCCUUCAAAACUGCAGGGCUUGAGGAUGGGAGAGGGAAGUGGAAUUCCCGGUGUAGUGGUGGAAUGCGUAGAUAUCGGGAGGAACACCAGUGGCGAAGGCGGCUUCCUGGCCCAUACCUGACGCUAAGACGCGAAAGCGUGGGGAGCGAACGGGAUUAGAUACCCUUGUAGUC
Molecule: ribosomal RNA, 440 nt
Filed under: uncultured bacterium
Lineage: Bacteria
Description: partial 16S ribosomal RNA
Rfam family: Bacterial small subunit ribosomal RNA
Source: RNAcentral